UACGGGGGGGGCAAGCGUUGUUCGGAAUUACUGGGCGUAAAGAGCUCGUAGGCGGCUUGUCGCGUCGACUGUGAAAACCCGCGGCUCAACUGCGGGCCUGCAGCCGAUACGGGCAGGCUAGAGUUCGGUAGGGGAGACUGGAAUUCCUGGUGUAGCGGUGAAAUGCGCAGAUAUCAGGAAGAACACCCGUGGCUAAGGCGGUUCUCUAGUACGGUACUGACGCUGAGACGCGAAAGCGUGGGGAGCGAACAGG
Molecule: ribosomal RNA, 253 nt
Filed under: uncultured bacterium
Lineage: Bacteria
Description: partial 16S ribosomal RNA
Rfam family: Bacterial small subunit ribosomal RNA
Source: RNAcentral